UGGAACCUAGCUGAGAGGAAGCCCAGGCAACGUGGUGAUGCCACACAUGGGUAUUCUGCUCAACAGCCCCAGCUAAGGUCCCAGCCAACAGCCAGCUUUGACUACCAGACAUGUGAAUGAAUGAACCUUCAGAUAACUCCAGCCCCACCUUUGAGUCUUUCAGCUGAGCCUCAGACACUAUGAAGCAGACUAGCUGUCCUCAAAAUGCCGUGUGCGAAUUCCUGACCUACAGGAACCAUGAAAAUAGCUCUUGCCUACAGUUUCCUCUUCUCUCCCUCUGCCUCCUAACCAUCCCUGGUGCUUCCUCAACUGGCUCUGUGUGCUGUGCCUCCUGUUUCUAGAGAACGUUUGCCACAUCUGUAGAUCUCUUCACUCCUGUAAUUUUAAACUCCUGGAGGCAAAAGCUGUGUCGCAUUUAUCUUUGACAGUGCUUCACCUCGCACAAUGCUUCCCACACGGU
Molecule: long non-coding RNA, 460 nt
Filed under: Equus caballus (horse)
Lineage: Eukaryota; Metazoa; Chordata; Mammalia; Perissodactyla; Equidae
Description: lncRNA (ENSECAG00000049478.1)
Source: RNAcentral